Long non-coding RNA from Sinocyclocheilus grahami, 361 nucleotides. RefSeq lists it as uncharacterized. The record is from RefSeq and is a predicted model, not a curated record. The transcript has 4 exons. NCBI's taxonomy places the organism in Eukaryota, Metazoa, Chordata, Actinopteri, Cypriniformes, Cyprinidae.
AAUGCUGUGUUUUUAUACUUUUUAAAGCACAUGGUAUUAUUUCUUACACUGAAUGACAACUGAAAAUGAUUUGUUAUUUCUCAUACUUCUAUAGUAUAACACUGUGUUCUAUCCAGGCGCAAUGCAGCAAGAUUCCAGCGACCAAACUAUUUUUAUGUCCACACUGCCAGUGAAAAUGUCCCCCGUUCUUUGUCAGUGUUUGAUGUUUAAUAUACAUAGGGAGCAGGAUUUUGGUUCAACAGUCUUUCAGUGUGAGCAUGGCUACCAGCACAUUGCUGCAGAAAUAUUUACACAAUGUAACAAUGUAAGAGAUAGAUAGCUUUUAUCACUUGUUGCUUUGUAUAAAUAUUUCUGCAGCAAU